This 82-nucleotide transfer RNA is filed under the name Metarhizium anisopliae. RNAcentral's name for it is "tRNA-Leu". It matches the Rfam family "tRNA". Rfam says of the family: Transfer RNA (tRNA) molecules are approximately 80 nucleotides in length. Their secondary structure includes four short double-helical elements and three loops (D, anti-codon, and T loops). The record is from RNAcentral. RNAcentral also lists the same sequence under 3 other names. Lineage: Eukaryota; Fungi; Ascomycota; Sordariomycetes; Hypocreales; Clavicipitaceae.
ACCAAGAUGGCCGAGUGGUUUAAGGCGGUAGAUUUAAGCUCUACUAUCGAAAGAUGCCUGGGUUCGAACCCCAGUCUUGGUA